Non-coding RNA from Notechis scutatus (mainland tiger snake), 1542 nucleotides. The record is from RefSeq and is a predicted model, not a curated record. Lineage: Eukaryota; Metazoa; Chordata; Lepidosauria; Squamata; Elapidae.
UAGCACAUGAGAGCCCUACGUAUAAAAUCAAUAUAUAUCAUAAACUGGCCUAAGGAGAAAUAUUUAGCCUGCAAUGCCCUUCCCAGUACUUCUUCAUUCCUCACGGAUCAGAAAUGCUAUGUAUUUGCUUUGUAGUUUAAUAUAAUGCAGAUUACAAAUGCAACUAAAAAUAUAGAAAUUUUGCAAUAUGCUAUGCAAUGAUUGCCAACAAGGGUAAUGCAUAUGUAUUUUCUUUCUUCUUUCACAUUUGACAUUGACAUUUGCUGCAUUACCUCAAUGGUGUUCUACAUUUUACAGUGCUCUUAUCAUUGACCACUGCUAUUUUGGGAUUUAGACAUUGUGUUCCGAAGGACAUGACAUUGUACAUUAAAUUCAGUGGAGGAAGUCCCUCUUUCCUAGGGAGGUGUGCAAUUUUUUUCUUUAGUUGGGGCAAAAGCAAAUGGUAAGAAGCGCUAUUCUCUGGCACCCAUUCUCUCCCCAUCUUCCUAUCUUCUCUGAGUUGCUGCAGGAGAACCACUUACUUUCUCUAGAUAAAUCUGUUGGAGAUAACAUUUGAAAUGUAGUCUGGUCUUUCUCCACAAAAGCAAAUUGGGGAGUAGGGGGAGGAAUAGAAAAAUGAGGUAGAGGGCACAUCCCAUGCUAAGAAACUUACAUAAUUAAAUGGUUUAAAAAUUAAGACUACAGCAGUCUUGAGCAGGAGAGCUAUUUAGGAUUACUAAGAAAUUGAAAACAAAAAGGCAAAAUCCAGAAGCUGGAUUCCUACACAGAACAGCAAUUACACGCAACUUAUUUGUUUAAAAAGAAACAUUUAUUAGAACAGGCAAGAUAAAAUUAACAUAAUUUAUUUAAAUUUUAAAGUACAAAUUAAUGUUGUUCACCUAUUUACAAAUUGAUCUCUAAAGUUAAAAAAAAAAAAACCCUCACUCUCCAAAGGGAGACAUUUACAGCAUUCCUCAACAGAGGUUUGUUAUUGAAGCAGAGGCCUUGCUCUAAAAUGAAGUUCCACAUAUAAAAUAAAAAGCAAAGCUUUGUAUUUGAAGGGAGAAGCCAAAAUCCGAACAAACCCAGAAGCUCCCGUGAAGAGGCAGAAGCAUCUGACAGGAUCAAGGUUUAAGUAACUAUAUCUUGAACCCAUUAUAUAUUCUGAGGAAAUCAUUAGAAAAAUAGAAGAAAAAUUUAUAUACAUUUUACUCAGUAAAAAUAUGGACAAAUUAUUUCAUGGCUUCUUGGUUAUCAAAAGGUGGGUAUUCCCAAAGAAACCACCAUAUUCUCCGACAGAUUGUAACAUACAACUCCAAAGAGUGCCACACUGAUUCUUUGUACCCCUGGGAGCAGAGGUACAUUGAAAGGCACAACAGAAAGAGAGGAACCCAGUCAUUUUAUCACUCACCACCCUUCCAGCAUUUGCAAAACAAAGCAUGAGGGUGAUCUGGUUAAGAUCCCUCACCAUCUAGAAACUUAAUGAAGUUGACAGGAUUUUUUUUUAGGAUAUGCGCCAAGAAGAAUGAGAAAAUAUACCCUGAGGAUUUCUAGGUUUUAUUA